GAUGAAGAACGUAGCGAAAUGCGAUAACUAAUGUGAAUUGCAGAAUUCAGUGAAUCAUCGAGUCUUUGAACGCACAUUGCGCCCCCUGGUAUUCCGGGGUGCAUGCCUGUCCGAGCGUCAUUGCUGCCCUCAAGCACGGCUUGUGUGUUGGGCUCCGUCCCCCCGGGGACGGGCCCGAAAGGCAGCGGCGGCACCGAGUCCGGUCCUCGAGCGUAUGGGGCUUUGUCACCCGCUCUGUAGGCCCGGCCGGCGCCAGCCGACAACCCAUCAUCCUUUUCAGGUUGACCUCGGAUCAGGUAGGGAUACCCGCUGAACUUAAGCAUAUCAAUAAGCGGAGGA
RNAcentral lists this unclassified non-coding RNA (339 nucleotides) under soil metagenome. RNAcentral's name for it is "partial contains 5.8S ribosomal RNA, internal transcribed spacer 2, and large subunit ribosomal RNA". The stretch from base 1 to 120 matches the Rfam family "5.8S ribosomal RNA", at positions 35 to 154 of the family's 154-position model. The record is from RNAcentral.